GUCAGUUUGUCCGAGUGGUUAAGGAGUGAGACUUGAAAUCUCAUGGGCUCUGCCCGCAUGAGUUCAAACCUCAUAGCUGACG
This 82-nucleotide transfer RNA is filed under the name Absidia glauca. It matches the Rfam family "tRNA". Rfam says of the family: Transfer RNA (tRNA) molecules are approximately 80 nucleotides in length. Their secondary structure includes four short double-helical elements and three loops (D, anti-codon, and T loops). The record is from Rfam by way of RNAcentral. Lineage: Eukaryota; Fungi; Mucoromycota; Mucoromycetes; Mucorales; Cunninghamellaceae.